GACGUAGGGUGCGAACGUUGUCCGGAUUUAUUGGGCGUAAAGAGCUCGUAGGCGGCUUGUCGCGUCGACCGUGAAAACUUGGGGCUCAACCCCAAGCCUGCGGUCGAUACGGGCAGGCUAGAGUUCGGUAGGGGAGACUGGAAUUCCUGGUGUAGCGGUGAAAUGCGCAGAUAUCAGGAGGAACACCGGUGGCGAAGGCGGGUCUCUGGGCCGAUACUGACGCUGAGGAGCGAAAGCGUGGGGAGCGAACAGG
Molecule: ribosomal RNA, 253 nt
Filed under: uncultured bacterium
Lineage: Bacteria
Description: partial 16S ribosomal RNA
Rfam family: Bacterial small subunit ribosomal RNA
Source: RNAcentral